RNAcentral lists this ribosomal RNA (406 nucleotides) under uncultured bacterium. RNAcentral's name for it is "partial 16S ribosomal RNA". It matches the Rfam family "Bacterial small subunit ribosomal RNA", at positions 30 to 526 of the family's 1533-position model. The record is from RNAcentral.
AUUGAACGCUGGCGGCAGGCCUAACACAUGCAAGUCGAGCGAGCGGCGGACGGGUGAGUAAUGUAUGGGGAUCUGCCUGAUGGAGGGGGAUAAAUACUGGAAACGAUAGCUAAUACCGCAUACCAUCAGAUCAACCAAUAUGGGAUUAGCUAGUAGGUGAGGUAACGGCUCACUGAGGCGACGAUCCCUAGCUGGUCUGAGAGGAGGAUCAGCCAACCUGGAACGGAGACACGGCCCAGACUCCUACGGGAGGCAGCAGUGGGGAAUAUUGCACAAUGGGGGCUAGCCUGACGCAGCCAUGCCGCGGGAAUGAAGAAGGCCUUCGGGUUGUAAAGUUCUUUCGGGAGCGAGGCGUUACCUACAGAAGAAGCACCGGCUAACUCCGUGCCAGCAGCCGCGGUAAUAC